RNAcentral lists this transfer RNA (61 nucleotides) under Salmo salar (Atlantic salmon). It matches the Rfam family "tRNA", at positions 7 to 64 of the family's 71-position model. From Rfam's summary of the family: Transfer RNA (tRNA) molecules are approximately 80 nucleotides in length. The record is from Rfam by way of RNAcentral. Lineage: Eukaryota; Metazoa; Chordata; Actinopteri; Salmoniformes; Salmonidae.
GUGGCUCAGUUGAUUGAGCAUGGCGCUUUCAAUGCCAGAGUUAUGGGUUUGAUUCCCAGUC